AAAUUACUAUUUUUUAAUAUUCCGUAUCUAAUAAUGAACCCUCUUCCACUAUGCCUUGAUUUUAUGGCCUGCGCAGCUAAAACCCUAAACCCUAACGCCAUAGGAGCCUUUCUUCCAGAUCUUUACCCUUUCUCUCUGCAUCUCCCAUCAUGGCCUCAUCUUGCAACAGAUUCAUCUCCAGAUCAUCCCUAUCGUCCAUUAAAUCCUUCAUUAGAUCCAACGCUCCAAAAUCUCCUGUCACAAGAUCUACCAUUUAUUCCUCUCCUUCUCCUCAUUUCCCUUCCUCUUCCAUUCCUCGCCGCUUCUCUUUCUCUUGUAGGCCUCCGUCUAAGCUGGGAUGCGUGCAGUCGCUGCUGCCGCUGCACAGCGCGGUAGCGACGGCGAGGAUGACGUCAUGCUUGAGCACCACAUCGAGGAGUUGCCGAGCGCUGUCACAGGGUUAUUUGAUUAUUUUGUGUGCAUAACAAUUCGAAUUAGAUAGUGGAAUUGUUAAGGUUAUGAUUAAUGUAAUAAUGAGAUUAGCAAUGGAGAAGGAGGAGAUAUUUUUGAAAGUGAUUUUGUAGUUGGAAACUUCGGACAGAAAAUUUGGAUGUUCUCAUUAGUGGUGUGCUUGCUUCCUUGGCUUUUAAAGGCACAUAAUUUCAAAAGAUAUAAACUCGGGACUUGUCAAUUAUGGCCCAAUGCGUCUUUGUCAAAUGGAGUUGAUGGUACGUGAAACAUGUGUGCUGUUUUUUGGAGAGCUUGGUCUGUCAGUUCCAAGGUGACCUUUUUGCAGAAAAUCAUUGUGAUGGGAGAUUAACUUCUUCAUGAUUGAAGAAGCAAGGCCUAGUAGCUCUUCAAUUUGUGAAGAUUUUUUUUUUUUCAAUUUAUAAAUGCUGCUGAACCUUUAAACCAAUGAAGCUGAUUUGAUUCUUCAUAACAUAGGAGGACCCAUCUACUGAGAUGUAACAAUUAAAUGCAAUUCAUAUAUAAUAUCGCGCGACCAAUAUAUGCUCAGUUGUUCCCAACA
RNA transcript from Hevea brasiliensis (rubber tree), 1009 nucleotides. It is a transcript of the gene named protein NONRESPONDING TO OXYLIPINS 2, mitochondrial, with no coding region annotated. Lineage: Eukaryota; Viridiplantae; Streptophyta; Magnoliopsida; Malpighiales; Euphorbiaceae. The transcript is spliced from 6 exons. The record is from RefSeq and is a predicted model, not a curated record.